CACAGAGUUAGCCGAUGCUUAUUCCCCGGAUACCGUCAUUGCUUCUUCUCCGGGAAAAGAAGUUCAUGACCCGUAGGCCUUCUACCUUCACGCGGCAUUGCUGGAUCAGGCUUGCGCCCAUUGUCCAAUAUUCCCUACUGCUGCCUCCCGUAGGAGUCUGGGCCGUGUCUCAGUCCCAGUGUGGCUGAUCAUCCUCUCAGACCAGCUAAGGAUCGUCGCCUUGGUGGGCCUUUACCCCACCAACUAGCUAAUCCUACGCGGGCUCAUCCUUGGGCGAUAAAUCUUUGGACUUACGUCAUCAUCCGGUAUUAGCUUCCGUUUCCAGAAGUUAUUCCGAACCCAAGGGCAGAUUCCCACGCGUUACGCACCCGUGCGCCACUAGAUCCGAAGAUCUCGUUCGACUUGCAUGUAUUAGGCAUGCCGCCAGCGUCGUUCUGAGCCAGGAUCAAACUAC
Molecule: ribosomal RNA, 454 nt
Filed under: uncultured Sphingobium sp.
Lineage: Bacteria; Pseudomonadati; Pseudomonadota; Alphaproteobacteria; Sphingomonadales; Sphingobiaceae
Description: partial 16S ribosomal RNA
Source: RNAcentral